Molecule: ribosomal RNA, 301 nt
Filed under: uncultured bacterium
Lineage: Bacteria
Description: partial 16S ribosomal RNA
Rfam family: Bacterial small subunit ribosomal RNA
Source: RNAcentral
CAGUCGCCGCGGUAAUACGUAGGGUGCAAGCGUUGUCCGGAAUUAUUGGGCGUAAAGAGCUCGUAGGCGGUUUGUCGCGUCUGCUGUUAAAACGCGAGGCUCAACCUCGCGCCUGCAGUGGGUACGGGCAGACUAGAGUGUGGUAGGGGAGAUUGGAAUUCCUGGUGUAGCGGUGGAAUGCGCAGAUAUCAGGAGGAACACCGAUGGCGAAGGCAGAUCUCUGGGCCAUUACUGACGCUGAGGAGCGAAAGCGUGGGGAGCGAACAGGAUUAGAUACCCCUGUAGUCCCUGUCUCUUAUAC